GCCCGGGUGGUGAAAUCGGUAGACACAAGGGAUUAAAAUCCCUCGGCUUAUGGCUGUGCGGGUUCAAGUCCCGCCCCGGGCACCA
This 85-nucleotide transfer RNA is filed under the name Yersinia pestis. RNAcentral's name for it is "tRNA-OTHER". It matches the Rfam family "tRNA". Rfam says of the family: Transfer RNA (tRNA) molecules are approximately 80 nucleotides in length. Their secondary structure includes four short double-helical elements and three loops (D, anti-codon, and T loops). The record is from RNAcentral. Lineage: Bacteria; Pseudomonadati; Pseudomonadota; Gammaproteobacteria; Enterobacterales; Yersiniaceae.